Molecule: long non-coding RNA, 1355 nt
Organism: Cannabis sativa
Lineage: Eukaryota; Viridiplantae; Streptophyta; Magnoliopsida; Rosales; Cannabaceae
Exons: 2
Source: RefSeq, a predicted model, not a curated record
CACACCCAUUUAAAAAGAAAACGUCACUUGAAUCGCCCUCAAUUAAAUCAGGGUUAAAAGUCACCAUUGUUACAACCUCUUACUAGCACAAAAUUUUUCUAAAACAAUCGAGAAAGAAAACCAGAGCCUUUUAGGCACACAAGUCGAAGUGCUUACAAUCAAAAUCCCUUGUAUCGAUGGAUUACCUGAAGGGAUUUCUCUCCUUCAAUAUUAAAAACCCACAAAAAGUUUUCUUCUUUUACAAUCUCUUACUCUAAAAUUUCCAUAACCAUUUCAAUCUAGGCUUUGUGUGCUGUGGAUCGAGAACCAUGUGUGGUGGAGCUAUUAUCUCCGACUUCAUCUCGAUGAAUGCGCCGCCGCGGUCCACUCGUCUCACCUCCAACUAUCUCUGGCCGGAUCUCAACUCAGCUUCGAACACCAAAUUCUCUUUCUCUCUCUUCUUCUUCGUUCAAGUUUGUGAUUUGUUCUAGAGAGAGAGAGAAAUCUCAGUAGAAUUUGCGAUUCAAAUCCUCAAAUUUCACUCUAUUUGCAAAAAAGCCCCUUUUUUUAGGGUCUGAAUCCCCAAUUUGGGAAAUCGCCGCCGUAUCUCGGCCGUUGCCGCCGUUACCGUUAACCAUGAUCGUUAGAACAUACGGCCGUCGAAACCGAGGCAUUUCCAGAACCUAUUCAGACGGAUUAAACGACGCCGUUAACGACGAAGAAGGAGAAGAAGACCCUUUCAGUUUUAGGGAUUCUUUGUCUCAAUCUCAAGAAGGAGAAGAAUCAACCUGUGAGGAUUAGGAGGGCGAGUUUGAUGUCUUUGUUGUCUAUUUGUGGUACGGCUUAUCAGAGAAGGCUUCUGAGAACUCAAGGGAUGGCAAAGACGAUUGUUGAUGCCGUUUUGGGCCUUAACCUUGAUGAUUCAGCAAGCAAUUUAGCUGCUGCUUGUCUACUUUAUGUCUCACAUUUAUACUUAACUAUAUGACUUUGCAUUGAUUUUUAGCUAAAGAGGUAUUUGUUUUGUUUUAGUUGGUUAUAUCUACAAGGCAGCGUUUUGAAAAUGGACUUGAAGUAAAGCACCACCUCUGGACUUUAACAGGACCAGUAAACUUUAUUCGCUAUUGCUAAUGUGUUACUCCUUUUUCAAGCAGCUUUAGGAUGCAGAGAUGUGGUCGGUAAUGACUGGAAUUUUAUUUAUAUUGGCGUCGUUUUGUUUUUUUUGAAUCUAUCAAGACUUCUUUGUUUGCUUAUUCUAACUUGACAAGUUUCUCUUAAACAUCUUUGUUGCCAGCUUUAAUUAGUUAGAUCACUCUAUCCUUGUAUACAUAUUUUUUUUGAACAAUCACUCUGUCCUUAUUAUCUUCAUUAAUUUGCUA